CUUAUGUAUUUCAGUGAGCAAUCAGUGCACUGUCUGGCAAACUGUAUGGAAACAGAGCUGCAUAAGUAAGCAUGAAAAAUGAAUAACGAGAGACACAAGCAAAUGAAAGAAUGUGAGGCUUGCUGCUAGUGACUUAAUCAUUUGCAUUUUGGCGACGAUUCGAAUCAGUCGAGUGCUAAAGAUGAAGUGGAAGAUUCAAACUGUUAUUGAACAACUUUUUCUACGAAAUAAUUCUCGUAGGUAAUAACAGUGCAAUCAGUGAUUUAUUGCUUUACUGUGUUCUUUGUUGCUGUUGGUGUGUUACUGUGUAGAAUAGGGCUGUUUGUGGGAUUAUGCAGAUUUCCUAGAUGUCACACGCGCAUUUUGUCGGACACCUCCAAAACCGUCUAAGUCGAAACUAGUUCCAAAACCGUCCAAAUGUGAUAAGGUUUCAUGCAAACAGGAUAAAUAACCCCAAUUUAAUUCAGAAUGCGGUGUUUGGUAACGCAGUCAUCAUCGAGUUUCUAGCAUUCUUUUUCUCACCGUGAUUUAUGGUGGAGCCGCACCGAGUAUAGGACAUUAGUGCUCUCGGCGGACAAGUCCUUUUGUAGCAAUAGGUUUUGCUAAACGAUAACCGUUUGUGAUAAACCAUAACAAAUGGAACAAACAAACAAAACAUAUUUACAUGCCGCCACGAAUCUGAAACUUUGGUCGCUAGCGCUAACCAAAAAAUGCUGACACGACCCUCGUUCACCCAAGCGCCCGCUAUGUUAACCGAUUUCACUGGUGCAUAAUGCUGACAGGCUGGUUCCGUGUGGGAGCAAAACGGAAUAGUGAUACCGUCGCUGGCGCGGGUGAUGAAAAAUUAUUGUUUUUAUGGAUUUUCUAGCUACGAAUAUUAAUUCAAAACUAUGCUUACUUUUUUUCAACAGAUUACAUCCUGCUUUGUACUAAAAGCUGUCGCUAGUAUCCGACAAUUUUGCCUAUUAUUUCAGUGGAGUUUCAGUGUUUGUUGCUCUGUCGUAUUCCUGCCUUUUGUUCUGUUGACACUAAGCGCAGUUUUAUACCCACGUUUGAAUACCUUUUCACAUUUUCAUGAUAUAUUUUCAAUGUCCUGCAAUUGUUGUAUCAUUGUUAUUAAAUAAUAUUUCCCGGAUUUUGUCAAGAUUUUCGAACCUCAUAAGUUGGGCUUUCGAUAUUUGAUAAAGCUGCUGUGUGUAUGUUCGGCGCCAAUUUUAAACUGUUUAUGGCCCUGGCCACUCUUAAUACACACUGGCCUUCUCCAUCCUCGCCAUCCUCGCUAAACUAAUCGAAACCUCCGCUACCUUACCUCCAUCUUCCUUUCCACUUUCCUUUCCACCUUCUUUACACCUUCUUUUACGCCUUCUUUUCGUUUUUAAUGCUAACUGAGCUCUUUGAUUGGUUCUAGAGACAAACGUUAAAUUGUUAUAAGCUAUUAUUGUUGGGGCCUCCCAGUCGCCGAAGCUUUUUAAUCCCUUCCUUGGCGCACAUCCGGCCGGUUUCGGAACGCCACUAUUUCGGUCGACCAAUAUUCGAACCACUGGAAGGGCGGGGAAGGUUCCUGCUUUCAAACGCAAUUGGUUGUUCUGGCUUCCUGGUGUUUACAAGACUAGACUACCUGUGAUGUAUAGUAAUGGGAAGGGGAGUGUGAGUGGUGAUAAGAUGUCGUUAUUAAAAAAAAUACAUCGGUCUUUAUUGAAGAACUCAUCAAGCUCGACUGGCUUUCCGAGUGAUCCACUGCACGCAGUGCUUCAUUGUAGCAUCUGCGGAAACACGAUCCACACAUGGUCCUUUGGUCGUGGUGUUAGAACACGGAUUGGUUCUAAGAUCGGGGUCGAAAGUUAGGAUGUUAUUAAACAUACGCCUGCGACGACUCCAUCGUUAUCCAUCAUUUGAACGAUUAUUAGUUACUUUAGGUUGGUCGGGGCGCUUCAUCCCCCGCAAAUUUUUCAAUUUGAUAUUAAACGCAUUUAUUCACUUAACGCAGACCCGAGUGCCCGCGAUGAAGAAAUAAUUGAAAAGAACGUCCGGCGCGACUCGGCAUCGGCAUUUAACUCCUGCUGAUGCUACGCGUCGAACUGCUAAUGCGGCGGAAUUGCCUUUCGAUAGGGUUUGGGAUUUUGAAUAGGAGUUCGAAAUUUAUGGCGUUUAGGGUUAGUUCUGUAGUGAGUACUGGAAAAGGCAUAGGGUUAAAUUGUGAACUGGAUUCUCUAUUGAGGUGUCGGUGGAUAUCUAGAAACAUGACGUCAUGUUUUUAUUGUUUUUUAGCAAAUUCUUCCAUUUGGCCAGUAAUUUUUGCAAGUGCCUUAACUAUUUCCUCCAUUUUAUCUUUUUCUUCUAAGCGGAGAUUUUUCAAUGAAGGCGUCUAAAUCGAUCGAUUAUACGCUCCAUUCUGAGUCUGAUGAGUCACAAUCACAGCGGCAUAAUCACACAGGAAUUCAGCAAUUGUCGAUAUUUUUUAACGCACUUGGUAUUUUUGAGCUUCUUGGCAUUGGCCAGUAGGUUUAAGGUAGAAUUCGUGUGGCUCCUAAAAAAGAAUCUCUCUUAGAACUCUCACAAUUUCAGCUGAAAUCAAAUCUCUCUUAGGACACUUCGUACUCCAACUGGUUGAUAUUUAUUCUAAGUCGGGCGCAAGUAUCUCUCUCUAAGAACGGACUUGGUUGCGUGUGAAAGAUUAUUAAACCGAGGUGGUUCGUAUUUCACUAUGGGGAAAAUAAAAUUUAAACUCACCUUGCAAUCGUGUUUGUGCGGGGUUCUUGGGUGUUUGGUUCUCCAGUGGCGUGAUGGGUACACGGUGAUUUCUCACCUCCGGGCUUCUCUACGAGCAGCGUCAGAUGCUAUCACUUUCCACGGGUAUGUGUUUGUCUUUCGCGGACUCAUUUCAGCUUAAUUUAUCAAUCCGGCUUUUACAUUGUUUUUUGUACGCACAAAUCUUUCACUUAGUCCCUGAACCGUGACGUGCGCGCCAAUCUUAGUUCGGUUUCGGAUCCUACGUUCCGCGACGAAUUAAAUGUAAAUUAAACGAACAAAGUUCCAAUCGUUUCUUUGAUAAGAACAAUAUUUAAUCUAAGCCCAUCGUUUGGAUUUGGGCUUCCCGCUAGUUGCUCCGCAAAAGUAGGGAGUCCAUGCAGCAGAAGGGGAGAGCUGGGAGGUUUUUGAGAAUUUUGAGACUAACUUGUGGAGGUCAAAACUCAUCUGAUGGAUAUGCCUGUGUCUGCUCUCGGGUCAAUAUUUGAGGGAAUACGUCGCGAGAUGAUGCCGCGUUGAACGAAACACGUGCCGAGGUGGUUAAACGCAAUCCCGCCAUCGAUCAUUGGAUGCAUCUUGUAGCUAUUCACUGGAGCUAGGCCAAUCACCAUGAGCGUUAUUAGUAAGACCACUUACCACUUUUUUACCAUAUCUGCGUUUUGCACCUUUCCUCGCAACCAUUUUCCUGGUGUGGCAUUAUCGUCGGUUAGGAUGACGAUGUUAUCUUUCUUGAUAGGAUUUCUUGAUCAAUUUUGUUGGUCCAUUUAUUCCUUUGAAUAAGUGUCCGGGGAAAUACUUCUUCCCAAACAGUCCCAAAAGAUGUUUGUGUGGUGCUGGGCUAGUUCGUAUUGGGUUUUAACGAAAGCGGAUGCGAAUACAGUUUGCGGGGGUAUACGUUCCCCGCUUCUUCCGAUCAGGAAGUGGAACGAAGUGAGCAAUUCAUCGUGUUCCUUUCCCACCGGGAUGUGCUUAAGCGGUCUGGAGUUUAUCAGUGCUUCUAUCUGUACGAAGGGUAUUGGGAGAAGGUUUGCGUUGUUUCAAUUGCUCGCUCAUGUGUUGGAGGCCCUUUAUACUGUUCUGGUUCGGGUGCUCCCAAACUUCACCGAAGUGCGGCGCGGACUGUGGGUUGAAAUGCCACUGAAGAUCAUAUUUCAGUGCUGCUGCUUGGCCCAUGUAUUGAUCGAUAUCGUUUACCAGUCGUUGGAGCUCUUUCUCUGCACCUACAAAAUUGUCUGUUAUCGCUGUAUAAGUGCGCGAUCUUACCUCUGAGGCAUUGCAUGU
RNA transcript from Anopheles darlingi, 4029 nucleotides. RefSeq lists it as uncharacterized. Lineage: Eukaryota; Metazoa; Arthropoda; Insecta; Diptera; Culicidae. The record is from RefSeq and is a predicted model, not a curated record. The transcript is spliced from 2 exons.